RNAcentral lists this ribosomal RNA (253 nucleotides) under uncultured bacterium. Its description in RNAcentral is "partial 16S ribosomal RNA". It matches the Rfam family "Bacterial small subunit ribosomal RNA", at positions 524 to 776 of the family's 1533-position model. The record is from RNAcentral.
UACGUAGGGGGCAAGCGUUGUCCGGAUUCAUUGGGCGUAAAGAGCGCGCAGGCGGUCGUUCAAGUCGCGUGUGAAAGCCCCCGGCUCAACUGGGGAGGGUCACGCGAUACUGAUCGACUCGAAGGCAGGAGAGGGUAGUGGAAUUCCCGGUGUAGUGGUGAAAUGCGUAGAUAUCGGGAGGAACACCAGUGGCGAAGGCGACCACCUGGCCUGUUCUUGACGCUGAGGCGCGAAAGCUAGGGGAGCAAACGGG